UGGCCAGACUCCUACGGGAGGCAGCAGUGAGGAAUAUUGGUCAAUGGCCGAGAGGCUGAACCAGCCAAGUCGCGUGAGGGAAGACGGCCCUACGGGUUGUAAACCUCUUUUGUCGGGGAGCAAAGCGAACCACGUGUGGUUCAUUGAGAGUACCCGAAGAAAAAGCAUCGGCUAACUCCGUGCCAGCAGCCGCGGUAAUACGGAGGAUGCGAGCGUUAUCCGGAUUUAUUGGGUUUAAAGGGUGCGCAGGCGGAGGUGCAAGUCAGCGGUCAAAUUGCGGGGCUCAACCCCGUACUGCCGUUGAAACUGCAUCCCUUGAGUGCGCGGAAGGCAGGCGGAAUUCGUGGUGUAGCGGUGAAAUGCUUAGAUAUCACGAAGAACCCCGAUUGCGAAGGCAGCCUGCCGCAGCGUUACUGACGCUGAAGCUCGAAAGCGCGGGUAUCGAACAGGAUUAGAUACCCCCGUA
This 466-nucleotide ribosomal RNA is filed under the name uncultured bacterium. RNAcentral describes it as "bacterial SSU rRNA". It matches the Rfam family "Bacterial small subunit ribosomal RNA", at positions 328 to 792 of the family's 1533-position model. The record is from RNAcentral.